GGGGUUGUGGCUCAGUGGUAGAGUGCUCACCUAGCAUGUGAGACGCCCUAGGUUCAAUCCUCAGCACCA
This 69-nucleotide transfer RNA is filed under the name Ictidomys tridecemlineatus (thirteen-lined ground squirrel). Its description in RNAcentral is "Spermophilus tridecemlineatus (thirteen-lined ground squirrel) tRNA". It matches the Rfam family "tRNA". Rfam says of the family: Transfer RNA (tRNA) molecules are approximately 80 nucleotides in length. Their secondary structure includes four short double-helical elements and three loops (D, anti-codon, and T loops). Further hydrogen bonds mediate the characteristic L-shaped molecular structure. tRNAs have two regions of fundamental functional importance: the anti-codon, which is responsible for specific mRNA codon recognition, and the 3' end, to which the tRNAs corresponding amino acid is attached (by aminoacyl-tRNA synthetases). tRNAs cope with the degeneracy of the genetic code in two manners: having more than one tRNA (with a specific anti-codon) for a particular amino acid; and 'wobble' base-pairing, i.e. permitting non-standard base-pairing at the 3rd anti-codon position. Lineage: Eukaryota; Metazoa; Chordata; Mammalia; Rodentia; Sciuridae. The record is from Rfam by way of RNAcentral.